CCUAAGCAAAAAAUUAAAAGUUAAGAGUUGAAAAAAUAUGACCAAUGAGAUGCAAUCCAACAGACAAGAAUGUCAUAUAGAAACAUAUUUUCCUCUGGACUUUGACAAGCAAUAAGCAAUAAGAAAUGAACAAUGUCCAAGCAUUAUGUGAAGAUCUAGGCAUCAAAAAAAGAUAGCCAUAAUACCCAAGCAAGCAUUCUAAUAGCUAGCAGUCUUCAAUGUCUUCCCAAGGCCCAAACAGAAAGUCAAACAUCAUAAGAC
RNAcentral lists this long non-coding RNA (261 nucleotides) under Lathyrus oleraceus (garden pea). Its description in RNAcentral is "Pisum sativum (pea) long non-coding RNA (PSAT_LNC008528)". The record is from RNAcentral. Lineage: Eukaryota; Viridiplantae; Streptophyta; Magnoliopsida; Fabales; Fabaceae.